UACGUAGGGUGCAGGCGUUAAUCGGAAUUACUGGGCGUAAAGCGUGCGCAGGCGGUUUGCUAAGACAGGUGUGAAAUCCCCGGGCUUAACCUGGGAACUGCGCUUGUAACUGGCAAGCUUGAGUGUGGCAGAGGGGGGUGGAAUUCCACGUGUAGCAGUGAAAUGCGUAGAGAUGUGGAGGAACACCGAUGGCGAAGGCAGCCCCCUGGGCUAACACUGACGCCUCAUGCACGAAAGCGUGGG
Molecule: ribosomal RNA, 243 nt
Filed under: uncultured bacterium
Lineage: Bacteria
Description: partial 16S ribosomal RNA
Rfam family: Bacterial small subunit ribosomal RNA
Source: RNAcentral